Molecule: ribosomal RNA, 253 nt
Filed under: uncultured bacterium
Lineage: Bacteria
Description: partial 16S ribosomal RNA
Rfam family: Bacterial small subunit ribosomal RNA
Source: RNAcentral
UACGGAGGAUCCAAGCGUUAUCCGGAUUUAUUGGGUUUAAAGGGUGCGUAGGCGGAUUGAUAAGUUAGAGGUGAAAUGUCCGAGCUCAACUCGGGAACUGCCUCUAAUACUGUUGAUCUAGAGAGUAGAUGCGGUAGGCGGAAUGUAUGGUGUAGCGGUGAAAUGCUUAGGGAUCAUACAGAACACCGAUUGCGAAGGCAGCUUACCAAUCUAUAUCUGACGUUGAGGCACGAAAGCGUGGGGAGCAAACAGG